GGGGUCGUGGCGUAGCUAGGAAGCGCGGCGGGCUCCAGACCCGCAGGUCGUGGGUUCAAAUCCCACCGGCCCCA
This 74-nucleotide transfer RNA is filed under the name Archaeoglobus sp. RNAcentral's name for it is "tRNA-Trp". It matches the Rfam family "tRNA". From Rfam's summary of the family: Transfer RNA (tRNA) molecules are approximately 80 nucleotides in length. Their secondary structure includes four short double-helical elements and three loops (D, anti-codon, and T loops). Lineage: Archaea; Methanobacteriati; Methanobacteriota; Archaeoglobi; Archaeoglobales; Archaeoglobaceae. The record is from RNAcentral.